RNAcentral lists this ribosomal RNA (245 nucleotides) under uncultured bacterium. Its description in RNAcentral is "partial 16S ribosomal RNA". It matches the Rfam family "Bacterial small subunit ribosomal RNA", at positions 524 to 768 of the family's 1533-position model. The record is from RNAcentral.
UACAGAGGUGACAAACGUUGUCCGGAAUUAUUGGGCGUAAAGGGCGCGUAGGCGGUUGGGUAAGUCUGGUGUGAAAGCUCUGAGCUUAACUCAGGAACUGCAUCGGAUACUGCCCGGCUUGAGUACGGUAGAGGAGGGUGGAAUUCCCAGUGUAGCGGUGAAAUGCGUAGAUAUUGGGAGGAACACCGGUGGCGAAGGCGGCCCUCUGGACCGAGACUGACGCUGAAGCGCGAAAGCUAGGGGAG